UACAGAGGUCCCGAGCGUUGUUCGGAUUCACUGGGCGUAAAGGGGGCGUAGGUGGCAUGGCAAGUUUGAUGUGAAAGCUCAGGGCUCAACCCUGAAAUGGCAUUGAAUACUGCUGUGCUGGAGGUUUGGAGGGGGGACUGGAAUUCUCGGUGUAGCAGUGAAAUGCGUAGAUAUCAGGAGGAACACCGGUGGCGAAGGCGGGUCUCUGGGCCGAUACUGACGCUGAGGAGCGAAAGCGUGGGUAGCAAACAGG
Molecule: ribosomal RNA, 253 nt
Filed under: uncultured bacterium
Lineage: Bacteria
Description: partial 16S ribosomal RNA
Rfam family: Bacterial small subunit ribosomal RNA
Source: RNAcentral